Molecule: ribosomal RNA, 492 nt
Filed under: uncultured bacterium
Lineage: Bacteria
Description: partial 16S ribosomal RNA
Rfam family: Bacterial small subunit ribosomal RNA
Source: RNAcentral
AGUGAACGCUGGCGGUAGGCCUAACACAUGCAAGUCGAACGGCAGCACAGUAAGAGCUUGCUCUUACGGGUGGCGAGUGGCGGACGGGUGAGGAAUACAUCGGAAUCUACUUUUUCGUGGGGGAUAACGUAGGGAAACUUACGCUAAUACCGCAUACGACCUACGGGUGAAAGCAUGGGAUCUUCGGACCUUGCGCGAUUGAAUGAGCCGAUGUCGGAUUAGCUAGUUGGCGGGGUAAAGGCCCACCAAGGCGACGAUCCGUAGCUGGUCUGAGAGGGUGAUCAGCCACACUGGAACUGAGACACGGUCCAGACUCCUACGGGAGGCAGCAGUGGGGAAUAUUGGACAAUGGGCGCAAGCCUGAUCCAGCCAUACCGCGUGGGUGAAGAAGGCCUUCGGGUUGUAAAGCCCUUUUGUUGGGAAAGAAAAGCAGCAGGUUAAUACCCCGCUGUUCUGACGGUACCCAAAGAAUAAGCACCGGCUAACUUCGUG